UUUAUGUUAAUCCAAAAUCACACACAUAUCAUUAACUGAUUAUCGGGGUGCUGUUAGAUAAUCUUUAACGGUCGAUUUAUCAGGGUAUGUGGAGGCUAAAC
Molecule: small RNA, 101 nt
Filed under: Muribacter muris
Lineage: Bacteria; Pseudomonadati; Pseudomonadota; Gammaproteobacteria; Pasteurellales; Pasteurellaceae
Description: Actinobacillus muris t44 RNA
Rfam family: t44 RNA
About the family: This family consists of a number of bacterial RNA genes of between 135 and 170 bases in length.
Source: Rfam by way of RNAcentral